AGAGUUUGAUCAUGGCUCAGGAUGAACGCUAGCGGCAGGCUAAUACAUGCAAGUCGAACGGUUUUACAGCAAUGUAAGAUAGUGGCGCACGGGUGCGUAACACGUAUGGACCCUACCUUAUAGACGGGGAUAGCCUUUGGAAACGGAGAUUAAUACCCGAUAGUAAUAUGAGAUGGCAUCAUUUUAUAUUUAAAGAUUUAUCGCUAUAAGUUGGUCAUGCGUCCAAUUAGUUAGUUGGCGGGGUAACGGCUCACCAAGACGAUGAUUGGUAGGGGAACUGAGAGGUUAAUCCCCCACACUGGCACUGAGAUACGGGCCAGACUCCUACGGGAGGCAGCAGUAGGGAAUAUUGGGCAAUGGAGGCAACUCUGACCCAGCCAUGCCGCGUGCAGGAUGAAGGCGUUAUGCGUUGUAAACUGCUUUUAUAUAGGAAGAAAUAGACCUUGCGAGGUAAGUUGACGGUACUAUAUGAAUAAGCACCGGCUAACUCCGUGCCAGCAGCCGCGGUAAUACGGAGGGUGCAAGCGUUGUCCGGAUUUAUUGGGUUAAAAGGGUGCGUAGGCGGUUUAUUAAGUCAGUGGUGAAAGACGGUCGCUCAACGAUUGCAGUGCCAUUGAUACUGAUAGACUUGAGUGGGAUUGAGGUAGCUGGAA
Molecule: ribosomal RNA, 653 nt
Filed under: uncultured Crater Lake bacterium CL0-103
Lineage: Bacteria
Description: bacterial SSU rRNA
Rfam family: Bacterial small subunit ribosomal RNA
Source: RNAcentral